UACGUAGGGGGCAAGCGUUGUCCGGAUUUAUUGGGCGUAAAGCGCGUGUAGGCGGCCACACAGGUCCGUUGUGAAAACUCGAGGCUUAACCUCGAGACGUCGAUGGAAACCGUAUGGCUAGAGUCCGGAAGAGGAGAGUGGAAUUCCUGGUGUAGCGGUGAAAUGCGCAGAUAUCAGGAAGAACACCCGUGGCUAAGGCGGCUCUCUAGUACGGUACUGACGCUGAGACGCGAGAGCGUGGGGAGCGAACAGG
RNAcentral lists this ribosomal RNA (253 nucleotides) under uncultured bacterium. RNAcentral's name for it is "partial 16S ribosomal RNA". It matches the Rfam family "Bacterial small subunit ribosomal RNA", at positions 524 to 776 of the family's 1533-position model. The record is from RNAcentral.